RNAcentral lists this ribosomal RNA (467 nucleotides) under uncultured bacterium. Its description in RNAcentral is "partial 16S ribosomal RNA". It matches the Rfam family "Bacterial small subunit ribosomal RNA", at positions 28 to 507 of the family's 1533-position model. The record is from RNAcentral.
GAUGAACGCUGGCGGCGCGCCUAACACAUGCAAGUCGAACGAUUAAAGCACCUUCGGGUGUGUAUAAAGUGGCGAACGGCUGAGUAACACGUGGGCAACCUGCCCCUCUCAUUGGGAUAGCCACGGGAAACCGUGGAUAAUACCGAAUACUUCGGGACUUCCGCAUGGAAGACUCGAGAAAGCUCCGGCGGAGAGGGAUGGGCCCGCGGCCUGUUAGCUUGUUGGUGGGGUAAUGGCCUACCAAGGCAAUGAUGGGUAGCUGGGUUGAGAGACCGACCAGCCAGAUUGGGACUGAGACACGGCCCAGACUCCUACGGGAGGCACCAGUGGGGAAUCUUGCACAAUGGGCGAAAGCCUGAUGCAGCGACGCCGCGUGCGGGAUGAAGGCCUUCGGGUUGUAAACCGCUUUCAGCAGGGACGAGGCGAAAGUGACGGUACCUGCAGAAGAAGCCCCGGCUAACUACGUG